RNA transcript from Oncorhynchus keta (chum salmon), 3248 nucleotides. RefSeq lists it as uncharacterized. NCBI's taxonomy places the organism in Eukaryota, Metazoa, Chordata, Actinopteri, Salmoniformes, Salmonidae. The record is from RefSeq and is a predicted model, not a curated record. The transcript is spliced from 6 exons.
GCCAGAAAGAGUUCAGGAGGAGAAAGUGUUGGCUAUAAUAGAAAUAAUGAUACUGAAAUCAAAAAUGGUUAAAAACAGAAUAAUGAGGAUUUCUAUCCUCCUAUUGGAUGUGUAGAUUACAUCUCACAUUCCAGUGUUCCUAAUGGAGGUGUAGAUUACAUCUCACAUUCCAGUGUUCCUAAUGGAGGUGUAGAUUACAUCUCACAUUCCAGUGUUCCUAAUGGAGGUGUAGAUUACAUCUCACAUUCCAGUGUUCCUAAUGGAGGUGUAGAUUACAUCUCACAUUCCAGUGUUCCUAAUGGAGGUGUAGAUUACAUCUCACAUUCCAGUGUUCCUAAUGGAGGUGUAGAUUACAUCUCACAUUCCAGUGUUCCUAAUGGAGGUUUAGAUUACAUCUCACAUUCCAGUGUUCCUAAUGGAGGUGUAGAUUACAUCUCACAUUCCAGUGUUCCUAAUGGAGGUGUAGAUUACAUCUCACAUUCCAGUGUUCCUAUCGGAGGUGUAGAUUACAUCUCACAUUCCAGUGUUCCUAAUGGAGGUGUAGAUUACAUCUCACAUUCCAGUGUUCCUAAUGGAGGUGUAGAUUACAUCUCACAUUCCAGUGUUCCUAAUGGAGGUUUAGAUUACAUCUCACAUUCCAGUGUUCCUAAUGGUCACUAUAGCUUCCAGACUCUACUGGAUUGGCUGUUGUUACCUAGCACUGCCUAGCUUGCUAGUACCCACACGAGGACGAAGACAGCCUGGUGAGGAGUCCUAGUUCAAAACGUACAGCUAGGUGUAAUGACGAAAGGCGCUUGUGAAUUUGACAGCUCUAACGCAGUUUCACCAACAACGUCAAAACGUCAGGUAUUCGGACGCCGGCUGAAGCGGAUCAGAUUGAAUCGGGCUCUAAAGUGAAAGUUUGACUUUAAGGAAGUUGGGAUUGAACAAUUGAACAAUUGCCUGUAAGAAUCAGUGGUGUGACAAUGACAAUAACAAAUAAUAAAUAAAGCUGUGUAAGGAGAAAGUAAAUCACUGAUGGAAAAAAAUAAAUAAAAAUAAAGAAAAUAUUUCAAUACAACAAAAUGUUUCGUCUUCAUGUCCUGUCUCAUAUGAGGAGGUUCAAUGUCAAAUCAAAUCACAUUCAAUUUAUCAAUGAACUCAUCUUACACCAUGAGACCAGAAUGGAACCUGUGCAGGAGCCCUCCUGUAGGUUUUAAUGCUAACCCUCCUGUAGGUUUUAAUGCUAACCCUCCUGUAGGUUUUAAUGCUAACCCUCCUGUAGGUUUUAAUGCUAACCCUCCUGUAGGUUUUAAUGCCAACCCUCCUGUAGGUUUUAAUGCUAACCCUCCUGUAGGUUUUAAUGCCAACCCUCCUGUAGGUUUUAAUGCUAACCCUCCUGUAGGUUUUAAUGCUAACCCUCCUGUAGGUUUUAAUGCUAACCCUCCUGUAGGUUUUAAUGCUAACCCUCCUGUAGGUUUUAAUGCUAACCCUCCUGUAGGUUUUAAUGCUAACCCUCCUGUAGGUUUUAAUGCUAACCCUCCUGUAGGUUUUAAUGCUAACCCUCCUGUAGGUUUUAAUGCUAACCCUCCUGUAGGUUUUAAUGCCAACCCUCCUGUAGGUUUUAAUGCUAACCCUCCUGUAGGUUUUAAUGCUAACCCUCCUGUAGGUUUUAAUGCUAACCCUCCUGUAGGUUUUAAUGCCAACCCUCCUGUAGGUUUUAAUGCUAACCCUCCUGUAGGUUUUAAUGCCAACCCUCCUGUAGGUUUUAAUGCUAACCCUCCUGUAGGUUUUAAUGCCAACCCUCCUGUAGGUUUUAAUGCCAACCCUCCUGUAGGUUUUAAUGCUAACCCUCCUGUAGGUUUUAAUGCUAACCCUCCUGUAGGUUUUAAUGCUAACCCUCCUGUAGGUUUUAAUGCCAACCCUCCUGUAGGUUUUAAUGCUAACCCUCCUGUAGGUUUUAAUGCUAACCCUCCUGUAGGUUUUAAUGCCAACCCUCCUGUAGGUUUUAAUGCCAACCCUCCUGUAGGUUUUAAUGCUAACCCUCCUGUAGGUUUUAAUGCUAACCCUCCUGUAGGUUUUAAUGCUAACCCUCCUGUAGGUUUUAAUGCCAACCCUCCUGUAGGUUUUAAUGCUAACCCUCCUGUAGGUUUUAAUGCCAACCCUCCUGUAGGUUUUAAUGCUAACCCUCCUGUAGGUUUUAAUGCUAACCCUCCUGUAGGUUUUAAUGCUAACCCUCCUGUAGGUUUUAAUGCCAACCCUCCUGUAGGUUUUAAUGCUAACCCUCCUGUAGGUUUAAAUGCCAACCCUCCUGUAGGUUUUAAUGCUAACCCUCCUGUAGGUUUUAAUGCCAACCCUCCUGUAGGUUUUAAUGCCAACCCUCCUGUAGGUUUAAAUGCCAACCCUCCUGUAGGUUUAAAUGCCAACCCUCCUGUAGGUUUUAAUGCUAACCCUCCUGUAGGUUUUAAUGCUAACCCUCCUGUAGGUUUUAAUGCCAACCCUCCUGUAGGUUUUAAUGCUAACCCUCCUGUAGGUUUAAAUGCCAACCCUCCUGUAGGUUUUAAUGCUAACCCUCCUGUAGGUUUUAAUGCCAACCCUCCUGUAGGUUUUAAUGCCAACCCUCCUGUAGGUUUUAAUGCUAACCCUCCUGUAGGUUUUGGCUCUAACCCUCCUGUAGGUUUUGGCUCUAACCAUCCUGUAGGUUUUAAUGCUAACCCUCUUGUAGGUUUUAAUGCUAACCAUCCUGUAGGUUUUAAUGCUAACCCUCCUGUAGGUUUAAAUGCUAACCCUCCUGUAGGUUUAAAUGCUAACCCUCCUGUAGGUUUAAAUGCUAACCCUCCUGUAGGUUUUAAUGCCAGACCUCCUGUAGGUUUUAAUGCUAACCCUCCUGUAGGUUUUGGCUCUAACCCUCCUGUAGGUUUUAAUGCCAACCCUUCUGUAGGUUUUAAUGCCAGACCUCCUGUAGGUUUUAAUGCUAACCCUCCUGUAGGUUUUGGCUCUAACCCUCCUGUAGGUUUUAAUGCCAACCCUCCUGUAGGUUUUGGCUCUAACCCUCCUGUAGGUUUUAAUGCUAACCCUCCUUAAUGCUAACCCUCCUUAAUUCUAACCCUCCUGUAGGUUUUAAUGCUAACCCUCCUUAAUGCUAACCCUCCUGUAGGUUUUAAUGCCAACCCUCCUGUAGGUUUUGGCUCUAACCCCAGUUGUAACUAACCUGAUUCAGCUCAUCAACCAGAUAAUUAUUGGAAUCAGAACCGCUAGAUUAUGGUUGG